AUUGAACGCUGGCGGCAUGCUUUACACAUGCAAGUCGAGCGGCAGCGCGGGGGCAACCCUGGCGGCGAGCGGCGAACGGGUGAGUAAUGCAUCGGAACGUACCCUGGAGUGGGGGGAUAACGCCGCGAAAGCGGCGCUAAUACCGCAUAUGCUCUGAGGAGGAAAGUGGGGGACCGCAAGGCCUCACGCUCUGGGAGCGGCCGAUGUCCGAUUAGCUAGUUGGUGGGGUAAAGCUUACCAAGGCGACGAUCGGUAGCUGGUCUGAGAGGAUGAUCAGCCACACUGGGACUGAGACACGGCCCAGACUCCUACGGGAGGCAGCAGUGGGGAAUUUUGGACAAUGGGGGCAACCCUGAUCCAGCCAUGCCGCGUGAGUGAAGAAGGCCU
This 387-nucleotide ribosomal RNA is filed under the name uncultured bacterium. Its description in RNAcentral is "bacterial SSU rRNA". It matches the Rfam family "Bacterial small subunit ribosomal RNA", at positions 28 to 417 of the family's 1533-position model. The record is from RNAcentral.